RNAcentral lists this microRNA precursor (65 nucleotides) under Daphnia pulex (common water flea). RNAcentral's name for it is "Dpu-Mir-133_pre stem-loop". Lineage: Eukaryota; Metazoa; Arthropoda; Branchiopoda; Diplostraca; Daphniidae. RNAcentral also lists the same sequence under 1 other name. The record is from RNAcentral.
AGCUGGCUGAAUCCGGGCCAAAUUGUUAUUCAUAGAGCAGCAUUUGGUCCCCUUCAACCAGCUGU